UUGGGAGUAAAGGGACGGCCUCAGUGGAGGGUACUCUAUCCCAGAGCAUACUCCGGUCGCAUAAGAACUGGUUCAUUGGGCGAGCUUUCUUGUGAACCAUAUAGCCAUACAUGCCAAAAAGGUACAGCCUUCGGGAGUGCCUGUUUAUAUGAGGCCUUGGUUCAAACCCCGCUAGCUGAACCUAGUCAUCCAUUCCAAGGGGCCAAGGUAGGCAACGGAUAUGCUGGAGCAGGACCUUCGCAUAGUCCCAG
This 251-nucleotide long non-coding RNA is filed under the name Setaria viridis. RNAcentral's name for it is "long non-coding RNA (SVIR_LNC002192)". Lineage: Eukaryota; Viridiplantae; Streptophyta; Magnoliopsida; Poales; Poaceae. The record is from RNAcentral.